This 467-nucleotide ribosomal RNA is filed under the name uncultured bacterium. Its description in RNAcentral is "partial 16S ribosomal RNA". It matches the Rfam family "Bacterial small subunit ribosomal RNA", at positions 28 to 507 of the family's 1533-position model. The record is from RNAcentral.
GACGAACGCUGGCGGCGUGCUUAACACAUGCAAGUCGAACGGAAAGGCCUCUUUCGGGGGGUACUCGAGUGGCGAACGGGUGAGUAACCCGUGAGUAACCUGCCCUUGACCCUGGGAUAACUUCAGGAAACUCGGGCUAAUACCGGACAGGCGCUCCUGCUGCUAGGUGGGGGAUGGAUAGUUUCGGCGGUUGGGGUUGGACUCGCGGCUUAUCAGGUUGUUGGUGGGGUAGUGGCUUACCAAGGCUUUGACGGGUAGCCGGCCUGAGUGGGUGACCGGCCACAUUGGGACUGAGAUACGACCCAGACGCGUACGGGAGGCAGCAGUGGGGAAUAUUUCACAAUGGGUAGGAGCCUGAUGCAGCAACGCCGUGUGCGAGAUGACGGCCUUCUGGUUGUAAGCCGCAUUCGCGCAUGACGAGGCUUUGUGUGACGGUAGUGGGUAAAGAAGCACCGGCUAACUACGUG